Molecule: unclassified non-coding RNA, 908 nt
Filed under: uncultured bacterium
Lineage: Bacteria
Description: partial contains 16S ribosomal RNA, 16S-23S ribosomal RNA intergenic spacer, and 23S ribosomal RNA
Rfam family: tRNA (bases 141-214)
Source: RNAcentral
GGGWGAAGUCGUAACAAGGUAACCGUAGGGGAACCUGCGGUUGGAUCACCUCCUUUCUAAGGAAAAACGCUGUUGUCUUAGUAUCUGUUUCACACACAACAUCACAGGCUGUGGGAGGAGUCUUCGGACUCUGAACCUAGGGGCUAGUAGCUCAGUUGGUUAGAGCACACGCUUGAUAAGCGUGGGGUCGGAGGUUCAAGUCCUCCCUGGCCCACCAUUACAAAGUUUAGGUGUGGUUACUGAAAGCUUUCGAGUUUCUGGUAGCGACAUGUAAGUGUGUUAAGGGGUUUUGAGAUCUGAGCAGGCAGAUUCGAUGGCAGCAACGUAAUGUACAUUAAGUACAUGAGGCGCCGACAGAUGAAUCUAACGAACUUAGAACGCAAAAGAACUAACACAAUUUGGGGGUGUAGCUUAACUGGGAGAGCGCCUGCCUUGCACGCAGGAGGUCAUCGGUUCGAUCCCGUUCACCUUCACCAAUAUAUGUGUGAUCUGUGAAAAAGUGUGAGUAUAGAUAAGAUAUUUGAACGUAGGAUGAUCGGAAGAUUGGACUGCGUUAGAUGGAUGACAGAGUAAAGACGAAUACAAUAAACAAUCCUAGUUUAACAUUAUAGUGUUAAGUUAGGCUGACGAAAGUUAGGCUAAUAAAACACAAACGCGAAACUAAAUUCAAUUUAACAGAAGCUCUUAAGAGUAAUUCUUGGGAGCGUCGAGUCAAACUUGUUUUAGGGAUGUUGAGUUAGAACUAGGCGAGUUCAAGAGAGGCGACGCAAUGUAUGAAUAAUACAUGAGGAGCCAAACGAAGAACUCAACGACGUAAAUAACUCAAGAGACCAAAACAAGGAUAUCAAGCGUCAAAAGGGCAUCUGGUGGAUGCCUAGGCACAAAGAGGCGAUGAAGGACGUGCUAAA